GUAAGGAAUAUUGCCCAAUGGGCGAAAGCCUGAGGCAGCAACGCCGCGUGAGCGAUGAAGGCCUUCGGGUCGUAAAGCUCUUUUCCUGGGGACGAGAGAGGACGGUACCCGGGGAAUCAGUCACGGCUAACUACGUGCCAGCAGCCGCGGUAAAACGUAGGUGGCAAGCGUUAUCCGGAUUCACUGGGCGUAAAGCGCACGCAGGCGGCCGAGUAGGUAGGGCAUGAAAUCUCCUGGCUUAACUGGGAGGGGUUGUCCUAUACCGCUUGGCUGGAGGAUGGGAGAGGGGAGUGGAAUUGCCGGUGUAGUGGUGAAAUGCGUAGAGAUCGGCAGGAACACCAGUGGCGCAGGCGGCUUCCUGGCCCAUUCCUGACGCUCAGGUGCGAAAGCUAGGGGAGCGAACGGGAUUAGAAACCCUGGUAGUCC
RNAcentral lists this ribosomal RNA (426 nucleotides) under uncultured bacterium. RNAcentral's name for it is "bacterial SSU rRNA". It matches the Rfam family "Bacterial small subunit ribosomal RNA", at positions 354 to 796 of the family's 1533-position model. The record is from RNAcentral.